AUUGACUAAGGUUUCCAGAGGAAGGCUCGUCCGCUCUGGGUUAGUCGGGUCCUAAGCUGAGGCCGACAGGCGUAGGCGAUGGAUAACAGGUUGAUAUUCCUGUACCACCUAUAAUCGUUUUAAUCGAUGGGGGGACGCAGUAGGAUAGGCGAAGCGUGCGAUUGGAUUGCACGUCUAAGCAGUAAGGCUGAGUAUUAGGCAAAUCCGGUACUCGUUAAGGCUGAGCUGUGAUGGGGAGAAGACAUUGUGUCUUCGAGUCGUUGAUUUCACACUGCCGAGAAAAGCCUCUAGAUAGAAAAUAGGUGCCCGUACCGCAAACCGACACAGGUAGUCAAGAUGAGAAUUCUAAGGUGAGCGAGCGAACUCUCGUUAAGGAACUCGGCAAAAUGAC
RNAcentral lists this ribosomal RNA (391 nucleotides) under Staphylococcus aureus. RNAcentral's name for it is "partial 23S ribosomal RNA". It matches the Rfam family "Bacterial large subunit ribosomal RNA", at positions 1340 to 1726 of the family's 2925-position model. The record is from RNAcentral. Lineage: Bacteria; Bacillati; Bacillota; Bacilli; Caryophanales; Staphylococcaceae.